CCCUUAGAUGUCCUGGGCUGCACGCGCGCUACACUGAUGUGUCCAGUAAGCACCUAACCUCUUCCGAAAGGAACGGGUAACCUUUGCAAAGCACAUCGUGAUGGGGAUUGAUUAUUGCAAUUAUUAGUCUUGAACGAGGAAUUCCUAGUAAGCACAAGUCAUCAGCUUGUGUUGAUUACGUCCCUGCCCUUUGUACACACCGCCCGUCGCUCCUACCGAUUGAAUGUUCCGGUGAGCUCUUCGGACUGCGCGGUCUGCAGUUUCUGCGUUCCGUGCGGAAAGUUGCGCAAACCUUAACAUUUAGAGGAAGGAGAAGUCGUAACA
This 324-nucleotide ribosomal RNA is filed under the name uncultured eukaryote. RNAcentral's name for it is "partial 18S ribosomal RNA". It matches the Rfam family "Eukaryotic small subunit ribosomal RNA", at positions 1470 to 1796 of the family's 1831-position model. The record is from RNAcentral.